Molecule: ribosomal RNA, 497 nt
Filed under: uncultured bacterium
Lineage: Bacteria
Description: partial 16S ribosomal RNA
Rfam family: Bacterial small subunit ribosomal RNA
Source: RNAcentral
GAUGAACGCUGGCGGCGUGCCUAAUACAUGCAAGUCGAGCGAACGGACGAUAAGCUUGCUUCUCUGAUGUUAGCGGCGGACGUGUGAGUAACACUUGGAUAACCUACCUAUAAGACUGGGAUCACUUCGGGAAACCGGAGCUAAUACCGGAUGAUAUUUUGAACCGCAUGGUUCAAAAGUGAAAGACGGUCUUGCUGUCACUUAUAGAUUGCUCCGCGCUGCAUUAGCUAGUUGGUAAGGUAACGGCUUACCAAGGCAACGAUGCAUAGCCGACCUGAGAGGGUGAUCGGCCACAAUGGAACUGAGACACGGUCCAGACGCCUACGGGAGGAAGCAGUAGGGAAUCUUCCGCAAUGGGCGAAAGCCUGACGGAGCAACGCCGCGUGAGUGAUGAAGGUAUUCGGAUCGUAAAACUCUGUUAUUAGGGAAGAACAUAUGUGUAAGUAACUGUGCACAUCUUGACGGUACCUAAUCAGAAAGCCACGGCUAACUACGUG